CCAGAGAACUUUCCAGAGAUGGAUUGGUGCCUUUCGGGAACUCUGAGACAGGUGCUGCAUGGCUGUCGUCAGCUCGUGUUGUGAAAUGUUGGGUUAAGUCCCGCAACGAGCGCAACCCUUAUCCUUUGUUGCCAGCGGUCCGGCCGGGAACUCAAAGGAGACUGCCAGUGAUAAACUGGAGGAAGGUGGGGAUGACGUCAAGUCAUCAUGGCCCUUACGAGUAGGGCUACACACGUGCUACAAUGGCGCAUACAAAGAGAAGCGACCUCGCGAGAGCAAGCGGACCUCAUAAAGUGCGUCGUAGUCCGGAUUGGAGUCUGCAACUCGACUCCAUGAAGUCGGAAUCGCUAGUAAUCGUAGAUCAGAAUGCUACGGUGAAUACGUUCCCGGGCCUUGUACACACCGCCCGUCACACCAUGGGAGUGGGUUGCAAAAGAAGUAGGUAGCUUAACCUUCGGGAGGGCGCUUACCACUUUGUGAUUCAUGACUGGGGUGAAGUCGUAACAAGGUAGGCGUAGUGCU
Molecule: ribosomal RNA, 522 nt
Filed under: uncultured bacterium
Lineage: Bacteria
Description: bacterial SSU rRNA
Rfam family: Bacterial small subunit ribosomal RNA
Source: RNAcentral